AUUGAACGCUGGCGGCAUGCUUUACACAUGCAAGUCGAACGGUAACAGGUUAAGCUGACGAGUGGCGAACGGGUGAGUAAUGCAUCGGAACGUGCCCGAUCGUGGGGGAUAACGCAGCGAAAGCUGCGCUAAUACCGCAUGCGAUCUGAGGAUGAAAGCGGGGGACCGUAAGGCCUCGCGCGGUCGGAGCGGCCGAUGUCAGAUUAGGUAGUUGGUGGGGUAAAGGCUCACCAAGCCAACGAUCUGUAGCUGGUCUGAGAGGACGACCAGCCACACUGGGACUGAGACACGGCCCAGACUCCUACGGGAGGCAGCAGUGGGGAAUUUUGGACAAUGGGCGAAAGCCUGAUCCAGCAAUGCCGCGCGCAGGAAGAAGGCUUUCGGGUUGUAAACUGCUUUUGUACGGAGCGAAAAGGCUCUCUCUAAUACAGGGGGCUCAUGACGGUACCGUAAGAAUAAGCACCGGCUAACUACGUGCCAGCAGCCGCGGUAA
RNAcentral lists this ribosomal RNA (493 nucleotides) under uncultured bacterium. RNAcentral describes it as "partial 16S ribosomal RNA". It matches the Rfam family "Bacterial small subunit ribosomal RNA", at positions 29 to 523 of the family's 1533-position model. The record is from RNAcentral.